Molecule: ribosomal RNA, 776 nt
Filed under: uncultured bacterium
Lineage: Bacteria
Description: bacterial SSU rRNA
Rfam family: Bacterial small subunit ribosomal RNA
Source: RNAcentral
AGAGUUUGAUCCUGGCUCAGGACGAACGCUGGCGGCGUGCUUAACACAUGCAAGUCGAACGGAAAGGCCCUGCUUUUGUGGGGUGCUCGAGUGGCGAACGGGUGAGUAACACGUGAGUAACCUGCCCUUGACUUUGGGAUAACUUCAGGAAACUGGGGCUAAUACCGGAUAGGAGCUCCUGCUGCAUGGUGGGGGUUGGAAAGUUUCGGCGGUUGGGGAUGGACUCGCGGCUUAUCAGCUUGUUGGUGGGGUAGUGGCUUACCAAGGCUUUGACGGGUAGCCGGCCUGAGAGGGUGACCGGCCACAUUGGGACUGAGAUACGGCCCAGACUCCUACGGGAGGCAGCAGUGGGGAAUAUUGCACAAUGGGCGGAAGCCUGAUGCAGCAACGCCGCGUGCGGGAUGACGGCCUUCGGGUUGUAAACCGCUUUCGCCUGUGACGAAGCGUGAGUGACGGUAAUGGGUAAAGAAGCACCGGCUAACUACGUGCCAGCAGCCGCGGUGAUACGUAGGGUGCGAGCGUUGUCCGGAUUUAUUGGGCGUAAAGGGCUCGUAGGUGGUUGAUCGCGUCGGAAGUGUAAUCUUGGGGCUUAACCCUGAGCGUGCUUUCGAUACGGGUUGACUUGAGGAAGGUAGGGGAGAAUGGAAUUCCUGGUGGAGCGGUGGAAUGCGCAGAUAUCAGGAGGAACACCAGUGGCGAAGGCGGUUCUCUGGGCCUUUCCUGACGCUGAGGAGCGAAAGCGUGGGGAGCGAACAGGAUUAGAUACCCUGGUAGUC